RNAcentral lists this ribosomal RNA (1343 nucleotides) under uncultured bacterium. RNAcentral describes it as "16S ribosomal RNA". It matches the Rfam family "Bacterial small subunit ribosomal RNA", at positions 28 to 1378 of the family's 1533-position model. The record is from RNAcentral.
GACGAACGCUGGCGGCGUGCUUAACACAUGCAAGUCGAACGGAAAGGCCCUGCUUUUGUGGGGUGCUCGAGUGGCGAACGGGUGAGUAACACGUGAGUAACCUGCCCUUGACUUUGGGAUAACUUCAGGAAACUGGGGCUAAUACCGGAUAGGAGCUCCUGCUGCAUGGUGGGGGUUGGAAAGUUUCGGCGGUUGGGGAUGGACUCGCGGCUUAUCAGCUUGUUGGUGGGGUAGUGGCUUACCAAGGCUUUGACGGGUAGCCGGCCUGAGAGGGUGACCGGCCACAUUGGGACUGAGAUACGGCCCAGACUCCUACGGGAGGCAGCAGUGGGGAAUAUUGCACAAUGGGCGGAAGCCUGAUGCAGCAACGCCGCGUGCGGGAUGACGGCCUUCGGGUUGUAAACCGCUUUCGCCUGUGACGAAGCGUGAGUGACGGUAAUGGGUAAAGAAGCACCGGCUAACUACGUGCCAGCAGCCGCGGUGAUACGUAGGGUGCGAGCGUUGUCCGGAUUUAUUGGGCGUAAAGGGCUCGUAGGUGGUUGAUCGCGUCGGAAGUGUAAUCUUGGGGCUUAACCCUGAGCGUGCUUUCGAUACGGGUUGACUUGAGGAAGGUAGGGGAGAAUGGAAUUCCUGGUGGAGCGGUGGAAUGCGCAGAUAUCAGGAGGAACACCAGUGGCGAAGGCGGUUCUCUGGGCCUUUCCUGACGCUGAGGAGCGAAAGCGUGGGGAGCGAACAGGCUUAGAUACCCUGGUAGUCCACGCUGUAAACGGUGGGUACUAGGUGUGGGGUCCAUUCCACGGGUUCCGUGCCGUAGCUAACGCUUUAAGUACCCCGCCUGGGGAGUACGGCCGCAAGGCUAAAACUCAAAGGAAUUGACGGGGCCCCGCACAAGCGGCGGAGCAUGCGGAUUAAUUCGAUGCAACGCGUAGAACCUUACCUGGGUUUGACAUGGAUCGGGAGCGCUCAGAGAUGGGUGUGCCUCUUUUGGGGUCGGUUCACAGGUGGUGCAUGGCUGUCGUUAGCUCGUGUCGUGAGAUGUUGGGUUAAGUCCCGCAACGAGCGCAACCCUUGUUCACUGUUGCCAGCACGUUAUGGUGGGGACUCAGUGGAGACCGCCGGGGUCAACUCGGAGGAAGGUGGGGAUGACGUCAAGUCAUCAUGCCCCUUAUGUCCAGGGCUUCACGCAUGCUACAAUGGCUGGUACAGAGAGUGGCGAGCCUGUGAGGGUGAGCGAAUCUCGGAAAGCCGGUCUCAGUUCGGAUUGGGGUCUGCAACUCGACCUCAUGAAGUCGGAGUCGCUAGUAAUCGCAGAUCAGCAACGCUGCGGUGAAUACGUUCCCGGG